RNAcentral lists this ribosomal RNA (253 nucleotides) under uncultured bacterium. RNAcentral's name for it is "partial 16S ribosomal RNA". It matches the Rfam family "Bacterial small subunit ribosomal RNA", at positions 524 to 776 of the family's 1533-position model. The record is from RNAcentral.
UACAGAGGUCUCGAGCGUUAAUCGGAGUCACUGGGCUUAAAGGGUGCGUAGGCUGGUCCGCAAGUGCUUUGUGAAAUCCCACGGCUCAACCGUGGAAUUGCUUGGCAGACUGCGGGCCUUGAGGUCGGUAGGGGCCGCCGGAACUCUAGGUGGAGCGGUGAAAUGCGUAGAUAUCUAGAGGAACGCCAAAGGUGAAGACAGGCGGCUGGGCCGAUUCUGACGCUGAGGCACGAAAGCGUGGGGAGCGAACGGG